GACGAACGCUGGCGGCGUGCUUAACACAUGCAAGUCGAACGGUAAGGUCCUUCGGGGGACACGAGUGGCGAACGGGUGAGUAACACGUGGGUGGUCUGCCCUGCACUCCUGGAUAAGCCUGCGAAACUGGGUCUAAUACCGGAUAGGACUCCGGACUGGAUGCUCUGGGGCGGAAAGAUUUUGCGGUGUGGGAUGGGCCCGCGGCCUAUCAGCGUGUUGGUGGGGUGAUGGCCUACCACGGCGACGACGGGUAGCCGGCCUGAGAGGGUGACGGGCCACACUGGGACUGAGAUACGGCCCAGACCCCUACGGGAGGCAGCAGUGGGGAAUAUUGCACAAUGGGCGCAAGCCUGAUGCAGCGACGCCGCGUGAGGGAUGACGGCCUUCGGGUUGUAAACCUCUUUCAGCAUCGACGAAGCGAAAGUGACGGUAGGUGCAGAAGAAGGACCGGCCAACUACGUGCCAGCCGCCGCCGUAA
This 478-nucleotide ribosomal RNA is filed under the name uncultured bacterium. RNAcentral describes it as "partial 16S ribosomal RNA". It matches the Rfam family "Bacterial small subunit ribosomal RNA", at positions 28 to 523 of the family's 1533-position model. The record is from RNAcentral.